Molecule: ribosomal RNA, 387 nt
Filed under: uncultured bacterium
Lineage: Bacteria
Description: bacterial SSU rRNA
Rfam family: Bacterial small subunit ribosomal RNA
Source: RNAcentral
GACGAACGCUGGCGGCGUGCUUAACACAUGCAAGUCGAGCGGUAAGGCCCUCGGGUACGACGAGCGGCGAACGGGUGAGUAACACGUGGGUGACCUGCCUCUAGCUCUGGGAUAAGCCUGGGAAACGUAGGGUCGUAAUACCGGAUAUGACUCCACGGCGCAUGUUGUGGGGUGGAAAGCCUUGUGUGGCUAGAGAUGGGCCCGCGGCCUAUCAGCUUGUUGGUGGGGGAUGGCCUACCAAGGCGACGACGGGUAGCCGGCCUGAGAGGGCGACCGGCCACACUGGGACUGAGACACGGCCCAGACUCCUACGGGAGGCAGCAGUGGGGAAUCUUGCGCAAUGGGCGAAAGCCUGACGCAGCGACGCCGCGUGAGGGAUGACGGCCU